This 301-nucleotide ribosomal RNA is filed under the name uncultured bacterium. RNAcentral's name for it is "partial 16S ribosomal RNA". It matches the Rfam family "Bacterial small subunit ribosomal RNA", at positions 509 to 807 of the family's 1533-position model. The record is from RNAcentral.
CAUCAGCCGCGGGAAUACGUAGGGUCCGAGCGUUGUCCGGAAUUAUUGGGCGUAAAGGGUGCGUAGGCGGCUUGACAAGUCUUGUGUGAAAUCUAUGGGCUCAACCCAUAGUCUGCACGGGAAACUGUCGGGCUUGAGUAUUGGAGAGGUGAGUGGAAUUUCCGGUGUAGCGGUGAAAUGCGUAGAUAUCGGAAGGAACACCUGUGGCGAAAGCGGCUCACUGGACAAUAACUGACGCCGAUGCACGAAAGCUAGGGGAGCAAACAGGAUUAGAUACCCGCGUAGUCCCUGUCUCUUAUAC